CUAAAGAAGAGCGACUCGGACGUGUCUGCGGAGUCCACAGUUUCAUCAUCCAUCCAGCUGGGCCUGGCAAAGCUCCUCUUGGGGAAACUGCGACCUGUCUGAGAGCCUGCCAAGCCGCUACGACCCUGAGCAACCCACAAACCAAAUAGUUGGAUGCAGCUCGGAUGCUCAUGCGGGCAACAGACUCCCUCUUACGCCUGGGAAAGCGGCUGUACCCGGAGCGCUGGCUGGUGAAGGAGCUAAGUGAGGUGACACCCGGGGUAACCGGACCGCCCUGAGUGAUGUGGGGUGUCCUGGGGGAGCGACUGUCCAUCUCAUCUGGGCAACGGAAAGCACGCCCCCGUGCCAGGGGAUCUACAAUCUACGAAAAAAGAGAUAUUAGUGUCUUCAACCUGACAUAAAUAUUUGAGUUAUGUCAUGACAUUAACUUAUCUAAUCCUACUAAACAAUUGCUGUAGUAAUUUCUUAUCACCGGCCUUCCGUAUUACAAGAAUGAACAGGUGCAGAGUCCAAAAAUCAGGUGAGGAUACGCACAAGAUAGAGAACAAAAGAAAAUCUAAAUAAAUAUUGGAUGAGUACAUGAGUAGAUGAGUAGAGCUAUUUGACACAGACUGAGGGGACAUGAUUCAUCUGGGACACAGAUGGUCCACGUCUGUCACUGUACAGCACUCUGCUUUAUUGAAGCCAGACACAUUUUUUCACCUCUUCUCCAUCUUAUUCUUUCUUUUUGCUCCUUUCCUUACAGACAAGCCUCUCAGUGCAGAACAACAAGAUUUGGGUGAUGUUAUACUGUGUUGAAAUAAAUGACCUAAAUGUUCA
This is a long non-coding RNA of Dicentrarchus labrax (European seabass), 819 nucleotides long. RefSeq lists it as uncharacterized. The record is from RefSeq and is a predicted model, not a curated record. The transcript has 2 exons. Lineage: Eukaryota; Metazoa; Chordata; Actinopteri; Moronidae.